UAGGUAAUUAUAUAUGGCACUCUCUCAAUUUUAUAUAUAUAUAUAUAUAUAUAUAUAUAUAGUAUAGUAUAGAGCUACUAUGCUAUCAGAAGUAUAGAGAAUCUGAUGCUUCCAACUUUUUAACCAUUGGAUCAAAAAUUAUACAGUUGAGAUGAUUACGGUCCCCCCUAGGAUUGAGUAGUACCUCUAGGUUGAGUGGUACCCACAGGAUAAUAGUAUUAAUCCAAAGGUUAGAAAUAAUUAAAAGGGUUGAUCUAAUGGCCAAAAAAUCAGAAGCACCAGAUCCUCUAUACUUCCGAUAGCAUAAUAGCUCUACUAUAUAUAUAUAUAUAUUAUAGGAAGAAGAGAUGAGGAGAGAGAGAGAAGUGAGAGAGAGAGUAGGGCUACUAUACACUUUUAUAAGUAUAGGAGCUCUUCGUACUUAUAAGUUGUUUCCGAUUUGGAAUUUUCGAAUCGAUGAUCCACACCGUUAAACAUGAUCUAGAGUAUUUGAAACUUCUAGAAAAUAAAUUUCGUAAUUUUUCGAAAUCAUUAUAAAGUCCAUCAAGCGGGUAUAAAAUGAACGGUUAAAAUCGAACGACAUCCUAAAAAUGGAUGAUCGGAUCAUUCAAUUUAAGAUCGGAGUUAUUGAUCUUUAUGUAGGUAGUGAAAUAGAAUUUUCUAUCAAAAA
RNAcentral lists this long non-coding RNA (670 nucleotides) under Ananas comosus (pineapple). RNAcentral describes it as "long non-coding RNA (ACOM_LNC026781)". Lineage: Eukaryota; Viridiplantae; Streptophyta; Magnoliopsida; Poales; Bromeliaceae. The record is from RNAcentral.